ACGCUGGCGGGUGCCUAAACAUGCAAGUCGAGCGGUAACAGGUGUAGCAAUACAUGCUGACGAGCGGCGAACGGGUGAGUAAUGUUUCGGAAUCUGCCCAAUGGUGGGGAAUAACCAGCCGAAAGGUUGGCUAAUACCGCAUGAGCCCUACGGGGGAAAGCGGGGGAUCGCAAGACCUCGCGCCGAUGGAUGAGCCGAAACCGGAUUAGCUAGUUGGUAGGGUAACGGCCUACCAAGGCGACGAUCCGUAGCUGGUCUGAGAGGACGACCAGCCACACUGGGACUGAGACACGGCCCAGACUCCUACGGGAGGCAGCAGUGGGGAAUAUUGGACAAUGGGGGAAACCCUGAUCCAGCGACGCCGCGUGUGUGAAGAAGGCCUGCGGGUUGUAAAGCACUUUUAGUGGGGAUGAAAAGCUCAGGGCUAAUACCGCUGAGUCUUGACCUAACCCAAAGAAAAAGCACCGGCUAACUCUGUGCCAGCAGCCGCGGUAAUACAGAGGGUGCGAGCGUUAAUCGGAAUUACUGGGCGUAAAGCGUGCGUAGACGGUUAUGUAAGUCGGGUGUGA
This 569-nucleotide ribosomal RNA is filed under the name uncultured bacterium. RNAcentral describes it as "bacterial SSU rRNA". It matches the Rfam family "Bacterial small subunit ribosomal RNA", at positions 33 to 597 of the family's 1533-position model. The record is from RNAcentral.